CUGGUGGCUGCCUUGCUUGCUCCAGCACUGAGCACAGAUCCUGGCCUGGAAGCUGCAUUCAUGUCAGCUGGAUGGAGCAGGAGCUCCUGCUGCCCUGGCUGCUCUUCAUUGUGCCUGCGAAGUGUAUUUGAAUGGAAGUUCACUGCCCUCCUGGGCACCCAGAUUUGGUAACCAAACCCCAGAGGUGAGGAAGGACUCAGCAAGCAGACCCACGUGGGCAGUGCUGGAGGAUUAUGUGUAGCACUGCCUUAGAAUACAGCUUCAUCAGGAGAUGCCAAUGGUGUAAGAACGUGGAGCUGCAGUGGGUGCAAUGCUGUGGGGCUACACUGUGACUCCAUCAUUGUCCCUACCCUCCAUCACCACAGCAAUUUCCUUUGCCUGCCCACAGAUGCACACAUCUGGCUGUAAAGG
This is a long non-coding RNA of Tympanuchus pallidicinctus (lesser prairie-chicken), 411 nucleotides long. RefSeq lists it as uncharacterized. The transcript has 3 exons. NCBI's taxonomy places the organism in Eukaryota, Metazoa, Chordata, Aves, Galliformes, Phasianidae. The record is from RefSeq and is a predicted model, not a curated record.